UACAGAGGUCUCAAGCGUUGUUCGGAUUCAUUGGGCGUAAAGGGUGCGUAGGCGGCGCGGUAAGUCGGGUGUGAAAUUUCGAGGCUUAACUUCGAAACUGCAUUCGAUACUGCCGUGCUUGAGGACUGGAGAGGAGACUGGAAUUUACGGUGUAGCGGUGAAAUGCGUAGAUAUCUGGAGGAACACCGGUGGCGAAGGCGGCAUCCUGGACCAACACUGACGCUGAUGAGCGAAAGCCAGGGGAGCAAACGGG
RNAcentral lists this ribosomal RNA (253 nucleotides) under uncultured bacterium. RNAcentral describes it as "partial 16S ribosomal RNA". It matches the Rfam family "Bacterial small subunit ribosomal RNA", at positions 524 to 776 of the family's 1533-position model. The record is from RNAcentral.